This 119-nucleotide ribosomal RNA is filed under the name Lepisosteus oculatus (spotted gar). The record is from RNAcentral. Lineage: Eukaryota; Metazoa; Chordata; Actinopteri; Semionotiformes; Lepisosteidae.
ACCAGCAGUCGUAUCACUCUGCAACUCACAACUGGCAACCCACUGAAGCUAGGCAAGUGUGAGCCUGGUCAGUACCUGGAUGGGAGACCCCCUAGGAAAAACUAAGGUUGCUGCUGGAA